CUGGAACUUAAAGUAUAAUAAUAAUUAAAAAAAAAAAGAAAUACAUGGUCACAAAUUUAAAGUGAGAUCACUUAGCAUAACUGUGGCAUUUCUUUUCUAGCAGUGCUCAGCUGCCUAAGGACAGGCACAAGAGAGGUGAAUGGUUGAAUUCAAUGAGAAAUGGCACAUCCCAGUUGAGUAACUUUGCCAUGGGAGAUGGGCAGAAGAGGUGUUUGCAAAGGAACCAUUAUACUGAGGAACAAGUGGAUCUAAACUGUGUGGAGGGAAGUGAGGACCUGAGAAAGGUGACAGACGAUGAAAAAGUAGUAGAAUGAAUGGAUCGCCAGUCUCCAAAGAUAUCAAAGUGUUGGUAUCCUGGGAUUUUAAAGUACAUGGGCUGGAAAGUGGUGGUCAGGGAAGUGCACCUUGAUGGGAAUUUGAACUUCUUCCUUCAUGGUUCAUUUUGCAGGUGGAAGAUGGGUGCUCGUGAGUCUAAGGAAGUGGGUUCAGUCUUGUUGAGGUUCAUCUGUGUCAACCCGCAGUAAAACAAAUGGCAAUGUGAACCCACCAAAUGCCUGCAUUAUACGUGUGCAAGAGAGUUGCCUGCCUCUGAUCAUUCAAAGGGAACGUGGAAAAGGGAGAAGGACAUCCCUUUCAGAUGGGAGCCAGGAGAUGUUGGCCCAAAGUCCCUUUCUUCCUCCCUCCUGCAGGUGGCAACAGGUCUUCGACUGCAUCAUAAAAGCUGAAACGUGUUGGCGCAGAGGGCUUCAUAAUUUGAUCACAUAAUCACCAGGAGAGAAGGGUUGUUGCUUUACGGUGAUCCACUUCGUGGGUGUUCUUUCAAUUAGCGUGUAGUUCCGCAUCAUCAUGAAAAACGGGCGCAAUGUCAUGCAUUUGAGAUAUCUUUAAAGAUGAGGCUUUAUAGACUGGUUUGCUGUUUGAUUUUUAUUUAUUUAUUUGUUUCUGGUAAUGUUGUUAUAUCAUUCUGUGAGGCCCUAACCUUCCUCUUGAUUUACCUCUUUGGAGAGUAAAUGAACUUCAAAGGAUGCCAGGUUCGCAUUUCUGGUUCAAUUCAAGCCUUUGGCUCUGACUGUUUUUCUCUAUCCAAACCAAGGCUUUCACUGAGCGUGAGCUGCUGGGCUCAGAGGCUCCAGGUGAGGGUGCUUGGGCAGUGACUGGCAAGCUUCUUCUCUUGGCUUGACCUGUGAACUUCCUUCUUUCCUUCUGGUUUCCUGCAAGCAGCUCUUGAAGGUGGUGGCUCAGCUGAAGAAGAAAAUCUUCAGUGAGGAGAGAGGUCUGUUCUGUUUUGUUUUGGUUUUUUCUUUUUUUUUUUUUUUUUUUUUUUGAGAUGGAAUCUCACUCUGUCACUCAGGCUGGAGUGCAGUGGUGCAAUCUUGGCUUACUGCAACCUCCGCCUCCCAGGUUCAAGUGAUUCUCCUGCCUCAGCCUCCCAAGUACCUGGGACUACAGGCGCCUGCCACCACGCCCCGCUAAUUUUUUGUAUUUUUAGUAGAGAAGGGAUUUCACCAUAUUGGCCAGGCUGGUCUUGAACUCCUGACCUCAAGUGAUCUGCCUGCUUCGGCCUCCCAAAGUGAGAGGUCUGUUCUUUAAUCUGGGUGCUCCAGGGCGGCAGGGCUGUGCACCUGAUAACUUCCAGACAUGCUCAGAAGGUCCUUCAUCAGGGCACAGGGGACUCACAGUGUCUGCUGUGAUACUGGGCCAUCAUCUCCCGGCUACCAUCUCAAAGAAAUGUUCUACCUUUUCCACGUUCCCGUUGAAUGAUCAGAGGCAGACAAUUCUCUUUGACACGUAUGAUAAUGCAGGCAUUUGCUGGAUUGGCACUGCCCCUUGUUUUGCUACAGGCUUACAGAGAUGAACUUUUAGGAGAGACAAUCCCUAAAGAUGAG
This 1886-nucleotide long non-coding RNA is filed under the name Papio anubis (olive baboon). Its description in RNAcentral is "lncRNA (ENSPANG00000039984.1)". Lineage: Eukaryota; Metazoa; Chordata; Mammalia; Primates; Cercopithecidae. The record is from RNAcentral.